AUGGAAGAGGCGGGAGGAACGCUCCGGAAAAAACUUUCGCACAGGAAGACGCGCCACGUCCUUUGUUGGUGAAAAUUCAGGUAUUCCCGAUCUGGUGAAUUUUCGAGAAGACAAGAAAAAGGCGAAAUUGUUGGGAGACAGAGGGUGGUUCAAAGGCGACUUUGCUGUUUGUACAGAUUGCUGCUUUGGAGGCACGGCCACCUUCUGCAACCUGGGUGGCUGCUACCUUAGCAACUAUGUGGGGAGUGACUUAUGUGGAGACGGAGUCUUUUGCUGGACAGGGUCGAAGAUACUGUGCUGGUGGUAACGCAUUGAAUUAUUACUUUCCGGACAGAAGUAUUGUUUAGAAGAGCGCUGGUUUAUGGGAAUUUCGUAUGUUUGGUUCCGGAGUGUUAACGGUGUAUGUGCAUGCGUGUGUUGUAGAUAGGUAAUGGUUAAAAGUGAACCAGUAAGAACUGGGUUGGGGCACCGCAUUGUGCAGUUAUGUAUGGUGUUGUAGUGUGUUUAAACUCUUGAAAAAAAAUGAUUUUAAAAAAGUAGUUUACUGUCUAAUAGACCGACCCUGACUGUCCACCACAAUUAGCAGAUCAACCAAUGGCAGCAAGGCA
This is a long non-coding RNA of Branchiostoma belcheri (Belcher's lancelet), 608 nucleotides long. RefSeq lists it as uncharacterized. The transcript is spliced from 3 exons. Lineage: Eukaryota; Metazoa; Chordata; Leptocardii; Amphioxiformes; Branchiostomatidae. The record is from RefSeq and is a predicted model, not a curated record.